Molecule: transfer RNA, 69 nt
Filed under: Marmota monax (woodchuck)
Lineage: Eukaryota; Metazoa; Chordata; Mammalia; Rodentia; Sciuridae
Description: tRNA.Ala
Rfam family: tRNA
About the family: Transfer RNA (tRNA) molecules are approximately 80 nucleotides in length. Their secondary structure includes four short double-helical elements and three loops (D, anti-codon, and T loops).
Source: RNAcentral
GGGUGUGGCUCAGUGGUAGAGCGCUUGCCUAGCAUGCAUGAGGCACUGGGUUCAAUCCCUGGAACCACA